Molecule: non-coding RNA, 71 nt
Organism: Parelaphostrongylus tenuis
Lineage: Eukaryota; Metazoa; Nematoda; Chromadorea; Rhabditida; Metastrongylidae
Source: the annotation of a GenBank genome assembly
GCUCUGUAGUGUAGUGGUAGCACACGUUACCGGUAUGGAUGAAACACGGGUUCGACUCACGUCUGAGGUCG